GCACUUUUAUUAUAUGCGCCCGGAGUGUCGCGUGCACAAUUAACAUGCCUCGCUCGACAGAGUUCAGACUUCGUUGGCGUGUGUCUUUUGGUUUGGUUAAGAGGAAUUAUCCGAAGGUAACAAAGUCGGAGAAUUCGAUGCGACUUGCACGUAUCUGUUUGGAAGAAAGUGGUGAGAUCUAGGCUCCUCCGCCACUAGGAGAAAAUUGAAGAAGGGGAGCAACUUCAAAGUCAGGGAACCGGAGCCUUCUUGGUCACCCUCUGCCUCAGCCUUUAAAUCCGACAGCCUUUGGUUGGAGUCCCAGUCCCAGGAGAAGAAAGUUCACCGGUUUUAUAGAAUGCUUUAUGUACAAUAUCUCGUUGGGAUCUUCGCAUCAAU
Molecule: long non-coding RNA, 378 nt
Filed under: Sarcophilus harrisii (Tasmanian devil)
Lineage: Eukaryota; Metazoa; Chordata; Mammalia; Dasyuromorphia; Dasyuridae
Description: lncRNA (ENSSHAG00000020710.1)
Source: RNAcentral